AGGAUUUCUUCAGCAUCGAUGAACUGCCGUCAAAGGGGAUCAACGGUUUACUACCAUUAGACGAGCCCAUUAAAAAGUGGUUAGGAGUCAGUGGAAAACAGGAUUCAUCAUCUAACGGUACAUGAGAUCUCAUCAGUAGGAUGUCGAGGGAACUUCAUCUGGUUCAACACCUUUUUAACCGACUGAAUCAUUCUUCCCCAACAACCUCCAAAGUGCGGUGAAGCUGGCGGAUUAAAGGUCCACUUGGUGUCCGGACCCUCGAAGUACUCCAUCAUCCUCUCUUGGCUAAGUUGUUGUAGGACUGCACGUAAUUCGCGGCUAGCGCCAAUAAAAUUUGUACCACGAUCGCUGACGAUUUCAA
Molecule: long non-coding RNA, 361 nt
Organism: Toxorhynchites rutilus septentrionalis
Lineage: Eukaryota; Metazoa; Arthropoda; Insecta; Diptera; Culicidae
Exons: 2
Source: RefSeq, a predicted model, not a curated record